GAUGAAGAACGUAGCGAAAUGCGAUAAGUAGUGUGAAUUGCAGAAUUCAGUGAAUCAUCGAAUCUUUGAACGCACAUUGCGCCCUUUGGUAUUCCUUAGGGCAUGCCUGUUCGAGCGUCAUUUAAACCUUCAAGCUCAGCUUGGUGUUGGGUGACUGUCCGCUUCACCGCGGACUCGCCUCAAAAUUAUUGGCGGCCGGUACAUUGGCUUCGAGCGCAGCAGAAACGCGAACUCGGGCCCGUCGUAUUGGCUCCCAGAAGCUAUCUUCACAAUCUUGACCUCGGAUCAGGUAGGGAUACCCGCUAAACUUAAGCAUAUCAAUAAGCGGAGGA
This 332-nucleotide unclassified non-coding RNA is filed under the name soil metagenome. RNAcentral describes it as "partial contains 5.8S ribosomal RNA, internal transcribed spacer 2, and large subunit ribosomal RNA". The stretch from base 1 to 120 matches the Rfam family "5.8S ribosomal RNA", at positions 35 to 154 of the family's 154-position model. The record is from RNAcentral.